GAUCAUGGCUCAGGAUGAACGCUGGCGGCGUGCUUAACACAUGCAAGUCGAACGAGCGCCUUCGGGCGCGAGUGGCGGACGGGUGAGUAACGCGUGGGUAACCUGCCCUGUACAGGGGAAUAACAGAGAGAAAUCUCUGCUAAUGCCGCAUAAGCGCACGGCACUGCAUGGUGCUGUGUGAAAAGCUCCGGCGGUACAGGAUGGACCCGCGUCUGAUUAGCUGGUUGGCGGGGUAACGGCCCACCAAGGCGACGAUCAGUAGCCGGCCUGAGAGGGUGAACGGCCACAUUGGGACUGAGAUACGGCCCAGACUCCUACGGGAGGCAGCAGUGGGGAAUAUUGCACAAUGGGGGAAACCCUGAUGCAGCGACGCCGCGUGAGUGAAGAAGUAAUUCGUUACGUAAAGCUCUAUCAGCAGGGAAGAAAAUGACGGUACCUGACUAAGAAGCCCCGGCUAACUACGUGCCAGCCGCCGC
Molecule: ribosomal RNA, 476 nt
Filed under: uncultured bacterium
Lineage: Bacteria
Description: bacterial SSU rRNA
Rfam family: Bacterial small subunit ribosomal RNA
Source: RNAcentral